AGAGUUUGAUUCUGGCUCAGAACGAACGCUGGCGGCAGGCCUAAUACAUGCAAGUCGAACGCCGUAGCAAUACGGAGUGGCAGACGGGUGAGUAACGCGUGGGAACAUACCCUUUGGUUCGGAAUAACUCAGGGAAACUUGAGCUAAUACCGGAUACGUCCAAGGUUUUAAUCGGCCUUGGAGAAAGAUUUAUCGCCGAAGGAUUGGCCCGCGUCUGAUUAGCUUGUUGGUGAGGUAAUGGCUCACCAAGGCGACGAUCAGUAGCUGGUCUGAGAGGAUGAUCAGCCACAUUGGGACUGAGACACGGCCCAAACUCCUACGGGAGGCAGCAGUAGGGAAUAUUGGACAAUGGGCGAAAGCCUGAUCCAGCCAUGCCGCGUGAGUGAUGAAGGCCUUAGGGUUGUAAAGCUCUUUUACCCGGGAAGAUAAUGACGGUACCGGGAGAAUAAGCCCCGGCUAACUUCGUGCCAGCAGCCGCGGUAAUACGAAGGGGGCUAGCGUUGUUCGGAUUUACUGGGCGUAAAGCGCACGUAGGCGGAUUCUUAAGUCAGGGGUGAAAUCCCGAGGCUCAACCUCGGAACUGCCUUUGAUACUGNNGAU
Molecule: ribosomal RNA, 600 nt
Filed under: uncultured bacterium
Lineage: Bacteria
Description: bacterial SSU rRNA
Rfam family: Bacterial small subunit ribosomal RNA
Source: RNAcentral